Medicago truncatula (barrel medic) is the source of this 568-nucleotide long non-coding RNA. RefSeq lists it as uncharacterized. The record is from RefSeq and is a predicted model, not a curated record. The transcript is spliced from 2 exons. Lineage: Eukaryota; Viridiplantae; Streptophyta; Magnoliopsida; Fabales; Fabaceae.
ACUAUUUUUACCAAACACACCCUUUGUAUCAAAUAUACAGAUAAAAAGAGAUAAAUUAAGGUAACCCCAUUUCGCCGGAACUGUUGGUGGUUGUGGAUUUCGCCGGAAUUGAUGGUGUAAGGUGGGGAAAGAAGAAAGCGAUGAAGCAGGAUGAGGAAGAUCCGGAACACGCUAUGAGGGAAAUGGGGAACGCAGCAACAAUGUCGAAGAUGAACUCAACGACGGCGACAGUUACUGCAACUACGGUGACAGUUACCGCAACAACAACAACGACGACCGCACGGUGACAAAAACUAACCAAAACAUCAGACAAACAAAAUUGGAACAUGUCUCAUUCCUGUAAAUCAAGAAAAUUGGACUGGAAUCAAUGGAUGUUGAAGCUUUGAAGAAGCUAAACAAAAAUAAGAAACUGGUGAAGAAAUUGGCAAAGAAGUACCGUGCCUUUUUAGCUUCUGAAGCUGUUAUCAAGAAGAUUCCUCGUCUUCUGGGUCCUGGUCUCAACAAGCUGUCAGUAUUUUGAGUUCUUGAAGAUUAUGUCAGUAGUGCUAAUUAAAAAAAAUAAACAGUU